GAGAACGAGGACGAGUUUAUCUACCUAUCCGCGGCCUGGUCGCGCAAUCUCUCUCCUCCCUCCCUCCCACCCUCCGCCCCCUUCCCGACGCGCCGCCGGAAACCCUAGCUCCACCGAUCUACCUCUCUCCAGCGCAGCACAGCCCAGGGGAGGGGAUGGCGGCGGCGCCGGCGGCGGGAGGGCAGGGCGGCGGGGGCAUGGACGCCGCGCUCCUCGACGACAUCAUCCGACGCCUGCUCGAGGUGCGGACCGCGCGCCCCGGGAAGCAGGUGCAGCUCUCCGAGGCGGAGAUCCGCCAGCUCUGCACCGUCUCCCGCGACAUCUUCCUCAGCCAGCCCAACCUGCUCGAGCUCGAGGCGCCGAUCAAGAUCUGCGGUGACAUCCAUGGUCAAUACAGCGAUCUUUUAAGGCUUUUUGAAUAUGGAGGCUUUCCUCCUGAAGCCAACUAUCUAUUCUUAGGUGAUUAUGUUGAUCGAGGCAAACAAAGUUUGGAGACUAUAUGCCUUCUUCUUGCAUACAAAAUCAAGUACCCAGAGAACUUUUUUCUUCUGAGGGGCAAUCAUGAAUGUGCUUCAAUAAACAGAAUAUAUGGAUUUUAUGAUGAAUGCAAACGUCGAUUUAAUGUGCGGCUAUGGAAGGUUUUCACUGAAUGUUUCAACACUCUCCCCGUGGCUGCUCUAAUUGAUGAUAAAAUAUUGUGUAUGCAUGGUGGACUCUCUCCUGAUCUAACACACUUGGAUGAGAUAAAGAACUUGCAACGUCCAACCGAUGUACCGGAUCAAGGUCUACUAUGUGACUUGCUUUGGUCAGAUCCAGGAAAAGAUGUUCAAGGGUGGGGCAUGAAUGAUAGAGGGGUCUCAUAUACCUUUGGUGCUGACAAGGUUUCAGAGUUCUUGGAAAAACAUGAUCUUGAUCUUAUUUGUCGGGCUCACCAGGUUGUUGAGGAUGGGUAUGAAUUCUUUGCUGACAGACAGCUUGUCACCAUAUUCUCGGCCCCGAAUUAUUGUGGUGAAUUUGAUAAUGCUGGUGCGAUGAUGAGCGUUGAUGAAACUUUGAUGUGCUCGUUCCAAAUUCUCAAACCUGCUGAGAGAAAAAACAAAUUUAUGGGGUCAAACAAAAUGUGAGAUGGUGAAUCCGUUCCGCUUCCAGCAGCUCUGAGCUCAUGACACCUCCUGUGGAUGCAUCAAGAUGAAAAGCAUGCUGGCGCCAAGCGAGGGCAGCAUUGGGCUACUUCUACCAGAGAAACAAAUAAUAUCAUACCUAACUGUUCGCCUGGAAGUUACUCUUCAUGGCAAGUGCCUGAUUUUUUACCCCUUUCCUGUUACCGUGUGUGAAACAAUCAUGUAGCUGUAGAUAUAUUGAUUAUGGAAGGAUGAAGUUGCCAAAUUGACCUGAGGCGAUUUCCUUCUCCAGCCAGGAAAAAUUCUGAACAUCAAGGAGUUUCUGUUUGCAAGUUUCACUAUUUAAAAGCAGUUGUAUCACUUGUAUGGAGGUAAGGGCUGAGCUGAGGCUGUGUUUUCUGUUGCUUGGAUAUGGAUUGCUGUUUUAGUUUCGAUAGAGGUGCCAAACAUCAAUUAAGCUGAAGAGUUGAGCAACACUGAAGGAGGUGCUGAUGCUUGCUGACAACUUACAAAAGGCGGUUCAACAGCUGACUUUUUUGGUUUAUCGGUCAGAUUAGUAUGAUGGACGACGUGAAUUUCGAUGUGCUGGCCAGAUUAGCUGCCAACUAGAAAUUCGUGUCUUGACUUGCACUUAUGGGUUUCACAUUUGGACAAUUUUGUUAUGGUAUUACAUGGGCGACUCUGGUUUUUUCU
This is an RNA transcript of Panicum virgatum (switchgrass), 1814 nucleotides long. It is a transcript of the gene named serine/threonine-protein phosphatase PP1-like, with no coding region annotated. The transcript has 4 exons. Lineage: Eukaryota; Viridiplantae; Streptophyta; Magnoliopsida; Poales; Poaceae. The record is from RefSeq and is a predicted model, not a curated record.